RNAcentral lists this ribosomal RNA (578 nucleotides) under uncultured Alphaproteobacteria bacterium. Its description in RNAcentral is "bacterial SSU rRNA". It matches the Rfam family "Bacterial small subunit ribosomal RNA", at positions 1 to 547 of the family's 1533-position model. The record is from RNAcentral. Lineage: Bacteria; Pseudomonadati; Pseudomonadota; Alphaproteobacteria.
CGUUGGGAGCUCUCCCAUAUGGUCGACCUGCAGGCGGCCGCGAAUUCACUAGUGAUUAGAGUUUGAUCAUGGCUCAGAUUGAACGCUGGCGGCAGGCCUAACACAUGCAAGUCGAGCGGUAGAGAGGUGCUUGCACCUCUUGAGAGCGGCGGACGGGUGAGUAAUGCCUAGGAAUCUGCCUGGUAGUGGGGGACAACGUUUCGAAAGGAACGCUAAUACCGCAUACGUCCUACGGGAGAAAGCAGGGGACCUUCGGGCCUUGCGCUAUCAGAUGAGCCUAGGUCGGAUUAGCUAGUUGGUGGGGUAAAGGCUCACCAAGGCAACGAUCCUUAGCUGGUCUGAGAGGAUGAUCAGCCACACUGGGACUGAGACACGGCCCAGACUCCUACGGGAGGCAGCAGUAGGGAAUAUUGGACAAUGGGCGAAAGCCUGAUCCAGCAAUGCCGCGUGAGUGAUGAAGGCCUUAGGGUUGUAAAGCUCUUUUACCCGAGAUGAUAAUGACAGUAUCGGGAGAAUAAGCUCCGGCUAACUCCGUGCCAGCAGCCGCGGUAAUACGAAUCGAAUUCCCGCGGCCGCCA